Molecule: ribosomal RNA, 254 nt
Filed under: uncultured bacterium
Lineage: Bacteria
Description: partial 16S ribosomal RNA
Rfam family: Bacterial small subunit ribosomal RNA
Source: RNAcentral
UACGGGGGGAGCAAGCGUUGUUCGGAUUUACUGGGCGUAAAGGGCGCGUAGGCGGCUACCGCAAGUCGACUGUGAAAUCUCCGGGCUUAACCCGGAAAGGUCAGCCGAUACUGCGGGGCUAGAGUGCAGAAGGGGCAACUGGAAUUCUCGGUGUAGCGGUGAAAUGCGCAGAUAUCAGGAGGAACACCAAUUGCGAAGGCAGCUCGCUGGGACGUUACUGACGCUGAGACGCGAAAGCGUGGGGAGCAAACAGG